GUGACUCUUCGGAGUUUGCAUUGUUAAAUAUGCUAGUCCUUUCAUGAUUAUGUGAUAGGUGGUGCAUGGCCGUUCUUAGUUCGUGGAGUGAUCUGUCUGCUUAAUUGCGUUUCAAAUUACUUAUAAGGUAGCAAUACGCGAUGAAACUUUCAAUAGUCCUCACGGAUUCACUUGAGUCUCUCGCUUCGCUAUCCUUUCGAAUGCAACGAACGUGACCGCAACCUCUUGUUGCCUUCGUUUAACAUCCUGCAGCUCGCUGUGGGUACUGAGGGCUUCACUCGGUGACUUUGGGCUGAGCAAUCGGUCUUUUGAUCUGAGUAAACUAGAGGGACCGCUGUCAACUUCUUAAACCAGAGGAAGGUUGCGGCAAUAACAGGUCUGUGAUGCCCUUAGAUGUUCCGGGCUGCACACGUGCUACAAUGAUCGUAGCAGUGAGCAUCUUAUUUGAUUUACUUAACACCGCAUACGUGAGUACCAACUAGCUUAGCAAUAAGUCAAGUAGUUCUCUACGCAGCGGUAACAGCCUGCUUCGAGAGCAAGUGGGUAAUCAAUUAAAGUAACGAUUUCUU
RNAcentral lists this ribosomal RNA (569 nucleotides) under Globigerinita uvula. Its description in RNAcentral is "bacterial SSU rRNA". It matches the Rfam family "Eukaryotic small subunit ribosomal RNA", at positions 1225 to 1570 of the family's 1831-position model. Lineage: Eukaryota; Foraminifera; Rotaliida; Globigerinitidae. The record is from RNAcentral.